This is a non-coding RNA of Brassica rapa (field mustard), 96 nucleotides long. Lineage: Eukaryota; Viridiplantae; Streptophyta; Magnoliopsida; Brassicales; Brassicaceae. The record is from Rfam.
GGCUAGGAUGAUUAUUGCUUAAUUAUUUCUGACACCUCUUGUAUGAGAAGAGCCUGAUAAACUCUUCUUUGAGCACAUUACGCAAAACUCUGAGCC